GACGACGAGCGAAGAUAGAAAGAUCGGUGACGGCGACGGCAACGAGCGAAGACGAGAAGACCGAUGACGGCGAUGGCGAUGGAGAAAGAAGAUGAAGGCUCUGCCUUUUCUAAGGAAAAACGGAAGUAUUAAUGAGAGAAGACAAGACCUCAAAAAAAUGGUGAUGGCCGGCAGAUGGAAAGUCCAAACAGACCAUCGAGGUCAGUGACGAAUGGAGAUGAAUGGAGAUCGGUGACUUUGAACGGCAGUGGUGUGGGUGAGAGGAGAUGAAUGG
Molecule: long non-coding RNA, 274 nt
Filed under: Elaeis guineensis (African oil palm)
Lineage: Eukaryota; Viridiplantae; Streptophyta; Magnoliopsida; Arecales; Arecaceae
Description: long non-coding RNA (EGUI_LNC074638)
Source: RNAcentral